Long non-coding RNA from Chiloscyllium plagiosum (whitespotted bambooshark), 762 nucleotides. RefSeq lists it as uncharacterized. The record is from RefSeq and is a predicted model, not a curated record. Lineage: Eukaryota; Metazoa; Chordata; Chondrichthyes; Orectolobiformes; Hemiscylliidae.
CGCCUCAACAUGGCGGUAACGAAUUGCUGUACCUCGCUCGGUACGUAUUCGGUUUAAAAAAAAUUCAACAGACUGAAGUGAAACUGCGUCCUCAGUUGACUGCAUCUUCAACAACGCACUCUCAGAACAGUCCAGUGGAUCAAGCAUUGUGCAUUCUCUCUCUCAUUGGUAUGCUUCAACUGCAAAGUACUAUGUAGAAGAUGGAUAGUAGAAACUCUCCAAACCUGGCAUUUGUGCUAACUAGGGGAAUGUGAGUAACAGGGAUAGUAGCAACGUCAUAUUCACUUCCAAGGUGCGUUGCCACUCCUCAUUCGUUGCUGGAUGAAAAUCCUGGAGCUCCCUAACUAACACCACAAUGACAAUAGUAGUGUUUCAUUGAGGGAAAACUGGAAUGGUGCCUUCCCACUGACGUCAGUGUUUUAACACCAUUAAAGGAACUGGAUAUGGAACCGGUGACCAUUUGAAUAUGAGCGUGUCUGGGCAGGGAGCCUAUGGUCUGUACAGUAUGAUGGAGUCUGGGCAUGGAGGCUGUGAUCACCAUCAACAUGAUGUUGACUGUAGCUGUGCGGUGUCUUCCUUUUGGAUUCUGAGCAGAGGUUAAUAUCUCUAGCCAAUUGUUUCUUGUCUGACAGGAGGCGCUUUGAUUUCACAAAAUAUAAGCUUGUUUCUAAAGCCACAUGUUGUAUGCUGUCAAACACAAACUGGCUGUUAUCUCAUACUGUAACGUAAUCCCUUGUGAGGCUGAAUAAAGCUCUGACCUUC